CAUGACCUUUCGUUCCGCCUGCAGCAGGUCUGGGCUCAGUAAGUGGCGAGAGGGCUAAGAGAGGUUUAAAGGCAGCACUUUGGGCAGCCCCGGUCCUCGAAAACAGGAAAGACUCAAGGUCACACGGAUAAAUUGCGAACCGAUUACAGAAGCCUUGCGUCAGUUGCGUGAGAGGAGGAGCCUGCUGCGCCUGCGCAGCUAGCAUCCUGCCGCACGUCUAAGGCGCAUGUGCGCAGGGCGUGGUGGAAACCGAGGUACUACAGCACUCAUUGGAUGCUUCAGCGCACAUAACUCAAACUACUGGCAGCUCCAUAAAAUGCUAGGAGGCAAAGAUACCACCCCCGGCCCAUCAACACACACCCCUUCAAUGAAGCACUUGAAACAGGAGGAUGCUAGGCAUUAGCUGGACAUCAGCCUGCUCACAGAAGCUCAGGCUCCUGAGAUGGAAAUGAAGGAGUGCAGAAGUCAAAGUCAUUCCUGGUCCAGAAGCAAGUUGAGCAUUCACUGGCAUGGCCACUGGGAAGGACCAAUCCAACCCUUGUGAUUCCAGAAGCCUCAUUUUCAAGGCCCCUACUGUUUAAGGAACUAGGAGUUUGGGCCAUCUCAGUAAUGGCUCCUUGAUAUAUAAUCUGAGGCUUUAGGGGAAGAGGGAUACAGGAAUCAAAAAUAACAACUCCUGUUCAUUGAGCACUUUCUAUAGGUAAAGUGUUGGUCUAAGCAUUUCACAUGCUUUGCCUUGUGUAAUCUUCAAACGACUCACUGAAUUGUGAUCCCUCUUUUAUAGAUGAGUAAACUAGGCACCCACUUAAUGAUAAUAAAAAUUAAAAUAGUAAUAUUAAUGAGAAAAAUUUAACAGCUUUAAUGUUUUUUACACUGAUCCAGUGCCAGGCCCUGUGCAAGCAUAUUAUAUAUGUAUGAUAUCAAGUCCUGACAGUUCAUCAUAUUAUCCCCGUUUUCAGCUAAGGAAACAGACUGAGGGAAGUGACUUGCCUGAGGUCACUGGAUUUCAGAAAGUGACCGAGCCAAGAGCCAAACUCGCUUCUGUGUGAUUCCAAAGCAGCCUGAAGCCACGAUUCCUUAGCAACCUCCCAAGGGGGCCAUCAUGGCGAGGACAGGAGGUUAUGGAAGAGAAUCCCAUUGGCCUUUAAAAGCAGAGGUACCCUGGCUUAUGAGCUGGGCCAUGAGCUACAAAAUCUGCCAUUAUGGGAAGCUGUGGGAGAGACACCGCCCCUUCCCACUGGGCAGUGAGGGAAGCUUUAAUGCCGUCUUCUCACCCACCUGGUAAUGGGCCGUGUAAACUCACAAACUGCAGGAAAACAGUUCCUUGAACAGGGAUGCAGAGGAUGUUUGCUCUGGUCCAAAGCCUCUGCCUCCCUGCUCACCCUGAGAUGUGGGGCUGUUGUCAGUCUCUGCUUUCUCUCCGUUGUCACUGUGAAUCCUGCUGGGCUAUCGUUGCCUUGGUAACUUGCUGGGAAGCUCUUGAGGCUUUCUAAAACCAGAGAGGGCUGUGGAGGGAGGAACGAGCUCUGCUGGGCUGCCGAUCACAGAAGGGAAGAAACUAUCCCCGCGUUUGCUGCCCUUACCAGCCACACAGACAGUCCUUCCUUGGGUUUUACCUCAGCCUCUUCUGUUGCCUCCACAGGAGCUUCGUAGCUUUUGAGGCCGGGCCUGAGUGGGGGGCGGGGCGGAGGGGAGCAUUCACUGGCAUGGCCCUGUGCUGCUCUGCCCUUGGAGUUGGUUCCCACUGUUGUCAGACAGAGCUGCUUGGACUUCCGGUUGCACCCAUUCCCUGGCCCUGAAAUGUUAAUUGGUUUAUGAAGCUCACUGCCUAUUUUUUAUGAGACAGAUAAUUAUGGUAAGGGGAGGUCAGGCCCUACUCUGCUGGACUUUGUGGGGCCUCCAGUACUCCUGACUCCCCAGUCAGAACCCAGGCAGACUGAUGGGAUCUGGGUGGGCAGGAGCAGGCCUAGGCGUUGGGGAGGGGCCUGGAUAUACUCACCAUGGGACAAGGGGCCAAGCCUUCAGGCUUGUAGUCCCUGUGAUGGGAUCAAGGAGGCGAAUGCACACCUGCCACAUAGUUGAGGUGGGUACCUGCAGAUGCUGUCCUUGGGUGAGAGAGACAGAGGUGUGGCAGCUCUUAGGCUUCCUAAGGGAUUCCUACAUGGGGCUGCCCCUGGCUGUGCCAAGAAAUCCUUAAUCUUGACACCAUUGUCACCUGUGGAACUGUUUCUCCCCCCACCCCCCUCUCUGUUUUGGGCCUCUUCCUUUCUUUUCUCCUAUAGUCUGAGUCUGAAAUAUGGCCUCUUUCUUUGGCCAGUCUCUAUAACUGAUCUCUCUUUCUCUCUUGGUCUUUCUCCCUCUGUCCUAGUCCAGGAUCAAUAUCUCUAUCUCUAUCUCUGUGUGUCUCUUUAUCUCUCUCUCUCUCUCUGUCUCUCCCCUUCUCUCCUUCCCAGGUGGGAAUAGACUUGCUGUCCACUGGAAGGCAGCUCCCUCAUGGGUUUUACUUCUGGCACAGGUAGGGUCUGCGAUGGGGAGUAGACAGUGCAAGAAAUUCCACUGAAACUGGGAUGGCUCCCCUCCAACCCUCAGGGAAAGCAAGAGCAGGGAAUGAGGGGGCAGAGGUUUAUGGGCUUCUCUCCAGGGUACGAUCUGAUGUACAGUUUUGUGACUCCCAGGUCGUCUGAGUGGCCUGUCCUGUCCCUAGACCAGGCCGAACAUCUGUGUGCCCUGCAUCACAUCCCUUAGCCCUCUGGGAAGGAUCUCUGACAAUCUACUCUGGCUCUAAGUAUUGUCUGUCUGUCCUCAUGCCCUCCUCCAAAGGGGGAGAGGGUGGCUGACCCAUGCAUGGCAGAUGUAUAACAACACUUUCAGACCCAGCCGGUUGCUGGAUCUGCUUGGCAGUGGGACACGAUGACCUCAGGAAGACACCAACCUACUCGAUAUAUUGCCAAACUCCCUCCUCCCUUGCUUUCUUCCUCAGUGGCCAGCUCCCCAGAAGUUGCUUCCCCUUUAAACUAAGUCCAACCUUGAAGGGAAAGAAGGAGGGAGGAAUGAGACUGGAGCUGCUCAGGUCAGGAGGGCCUAGAGUCCCAACUACAGAGGCCAGGCCCUCCUCCUUCUGCUCCUCCUCCAUUUAAUUAGCUAAUGUCUGUAAAGGGCUGGGCGGCAGAAAAGCCCCAUACAAAUGUUGAGCACAAUUUCAUUUCCAAGACUCGCCAAGAAUGUAUUUGCAGACUUGAGCGAGAGGUCACUGGGCCUGCCUGGGACACAGGGAGGACUCCCUGCAGGGGAGGACAGAGGUCCUGGGAGGCCAGAGCAGGGGAAUGAGAGGCCACGAUGGAGGCCAGGGUCCCAGACUCCUUGGUCUUCCAGCUGAGCAUCUUGGCACCAAACCUGCUUUCCACUGGCCUCCACCCUUCCUGACUCCCAGGGUCCUAGAGGUCCAGCCUUCUCUGUAGGGACCAGCCUCAGAGACUUGCUAUCUGGAAAUUAUGUGGCUAUUCACAACAGCUAAUAUUUAUUGAACACUUACUAUGUGUCAGGCUGUGCUAAGGGGGCUCUAUCUGUCCAGCUUGGGGAGAAAUGGCUGCUCUUGGUGGCAGUAGAGUGUAGGAUAGGAACUUUCCAGUGAAGCGGCCCCCUUUGCUCCACUUGAAACAUUUAGAAGGGGGGUGUCACUUUUCUGACCAAUGAGAAGAGAUUCUGCUUUGUAAUCCAGGUCCCUCCAGUGUCGAUACUCUGCAAGUUUCUGAACUCUCCUUUCCUUUCCCCAGUGACAACUCACCUGGUCCUAAAUCCAUUAUUAAAGAUCCUUGGGGCCAAUUAGCCUUGACAGGUUCCAUGUCCAAAGGGACAGCUUUCCAGUUUUUGGUGCUCCAAGGCCUGCUUAUGUGAACCUGUCCAUCUCAGAAUUCUGUGCAUCUGAUACUGAGGAGUGGCCACAUUCCUCCAUUUCUGGGUAGGACUUGGCUUUGCUUGGGGGUCAGAGAGGCUGAGCCUGGGAAAAUGGAAUGGCCAGCCUCCUCUUUCACAGUUCCAUUGCCAAGGUGAGUGCUUUGGGAAGGUGAGAGAGCGAGAGCGAGAGCGAGAGCGAGAGAGAGAGAGAGAUAUUGAGCUUGAGCGCAAAGCAGAGAAUGGAAGAAAGCAGGGUUCAGGAAGAGACAUGCAGGCCAGACUGGGAAUAUUGGUGUUUCUAUCAUGUCCUGGGCCUCCUUUGUCUCCAGCCCCUCAUUCUCUAAAAUCUGAACAGAGCUGGAGUGGGCUUUCUGAGAGACAAGAUCCUUGAGCCCCCAAACCUGGCCAACCUCUUCUGUUUCCCUAGUUGUUCUUCUCUGGCUUCCCUCCAGAGCCCAGGGGCCUCCAUGUGUCAUCAGUUCAUUAUCAUUCAGGUAAAAGUCAUUAGUCCUUGAAAAAGUAUGACUCCCCAGCUGAGGCCAGCCCCCCAUCUCCACCUGAGGAGAGGAGUACAAAUGUUUGGAGACCUCCUUCGGAACUGUAGGGAGAGAUAUACACAGUUGCACAGACACAAGACACACUGAUGCUUAUUCCCAAGGGUGUGUGCACACACCCUUUUAUGUCCUUUUAUGUACCCCCUUUACUCACAGGCACAUUUUAUGUGCUCAGGGGUAGUUACACCAGAGAGCCCACAGAGCUGUAGCUGCUCUCUUGCUUACCAUCCCUGAGAUUCACUCCUCAUCUUGCAGCAUCCAGCAGCCUCAGCCUCCUGCAUACCCAGAAGCCAGGCUUCCCAGACCGGUGGGGGAGGGGAACGGAAUGUAGAAGCUGAGGUUAGAGAUCUGCAAGUUCCAUUAGCCACAAGAAGCAUGUCUGGAAUCUAAAAGCACAGGGACAAGGGCGCUGCGGAGCAAUUCCUGACAGCGUGUUCACAUUUCCCACCCCCUCCCCUGCUAGGAAGCUCCUCUCGGUCAAUAAAGCCAUUUAGGGAUUAGAGCAGCUCCCUCAAUAAAAGCUGCUUAUUCAAAAGGUGCUUUCAGUUAAUUUGCAUUUACUUUAUGGAUAUUAUAAUGCGUGGAAGAGCUGCCUCCUCAGACUCCCUUCGCUGUCCCCAUUUUGAGUCCCAAGCCACAUACUCUCUCUUCAUUCCAUGCCCCUCUCCCCUGCCCCAACCAGUAGGCACUGUUGGGGCUGAGCCAUGCUUCCAAGCAACCCAGGGACCCUGAUGAAGAGUGGGAGGUGGUGAACGCUGGCCACUGACCCAUGGUUCCUGGAGGGGCAGCCCCAGGGACAGCUAGAAGGGGCCAAGCCGAAAGAGUUUUCCCAAAAGAGAGGAAAGACCCAGGCCCUGGGGGAACUGUCCUAGUUCCUGAACUCCUGGGGAAAAACUGAUCUGACUGCUGUUUGUAAGUGGAGACACCAUGGGGCUAAGCAGAAUCAGCUUUAACUCCUAACACUUCCUCUGGCAGCACCUCCCGUACAUUCAGUUUAUUCAGAGAAUAUUUAAUUAAUGCCUAUUAGGUACCAGGCUUUAUGCUAAGCACCUGGAAUAAAGUGGUGAAUAUGACAGUAUGGCCCCUGCCCUCCAGAAAUUCUGGUCUAGUGGGGAAAACCCAUGAAAAAUGAGCCAGUGAAUAUACAAUUUCAAAUUAUAUAAAAUAUAAUCGGUACUAUAAAGUGAACAAACGGUGCUGAUAGGAAGAGGGACCUACUUAAGAUGGGUGGUGGGAAGGGUGGUGACAAGAAACAGAGCUGGAAGAAUAGGAGCCAUGGGAGAAGCAUUUCAGAUUGUAGGAACUGCCAUCGCAAAGGCCCUGUGGCAGGAGUGUUGGUGAAACAGAAUGCAGUGAGGGGAGGAGUGGUAUCCAGUGAGGGUACUAUGGUUUAAGAUGGGCAAGGUCAAGUCUCGUGAGCCAUGGUAAGGAAUUGGGUAUUAUCCUAAGGGUGGGGCCACCUGAGUGGCUCAGUCAAUUAAGUGGCCGACUCUUGAUCUCGGCUCAGGUCAUGACCUCAUGGUUCGUGAGCACAGAGCCUGCUUGGAAUUCUGUCUCUCCAUGCCUCUGCCCCUUCUCAGCUUGUACUUUGUCUCUCUCUCUCUCUCAAAAUAAAUAACUAAACUUAAAAGAAAAACAAAAAAGCUAUAUCCUAAGGGUGGAGGGAAGCUGACAAAGAAGUUUAAUCAGGGACAAAAGGCAUGAUUUGACGUCCAUUCAUCAGGAAUGUGUGUUAGAAGGGUAGUAGUGGAUGCAGAUCAAUGAGGAAGCUAUUGCCAUCAUCCUAGCAAAGAGGAGCAGGAAGGGGGAAGGGACACA
Molecule: long non-coding RNA, 6266 nt
Organism: Felis catus (domestic cat)
Lineage: Eukaryota; Metazoa; Chordata; Mammalia; Carnivora; Felidae
Exons: 3
Source: RefSeq, a predicted model, not a curated record